GGGCGAUUAGCUUAGAGGUAGAGCAUCUCGUUUACACCGAGAGGGUCGGCGGUUCGAUCCCGUCAUCGCCCACCA
Molecule: transfer RNA, 75 nt
Filed under: Acetobacteraceae bacterium
Lineage: Bacteria; Pseudomonadati; Pseudomonadota; Alphaproteobacteria; Acetobacterales; Acetobacteraceae
Also listed under: 1 other name
Description: tRNA-Val
Rfam family: tRNA
About the family: Transfer RNA (tRNA) molecules are approximately 80 nucleotides in length.
Source: RNAcentral